This 253-nucleotide ribosomal RNA is filed under the name uncultured bacterium. RNAcentral's name for it is "partial 16S ribosomal RNA". It matches the Rfam family "Bacterial small subunit ribosomal RNA", at positions 524 to 776 of the family's 1533-position model. The record is from RNAcentral.
UACAGAGGGGGCAAGCGUUGUUCGGAAUUACUGGGCGUAAAGGGCGCGUAGGCGGCCUGCUAAGUCGAACGUGAAAUCCCCGGGCUCAACCCGGGAACUGCGUCCGAUACUGGCAGGCUUGAAUCCGGGAGAGGGAUGUGGAAUUCCAAGUGUAGCGGUGAAAUGCGUAGAUAUCUGGAGGAACACCGGUGGCGAAGGCGGCAUCCUGGACCGGUAUUGACGCUGAUGCGCGAAAGCCAGGGGAGCAAACGGG